GUCGAAAAUACCGUGGAAACAGUUUACCUUCAUUUGCAUCUAAUUUUAAUUUUUAGUUCCCACAUUUAACCACGAGACCUUCAUCAUCCCUCGCACUUCCUCUAUCUCAACCGCUACUUUCACUCUAACCGGGACUUCAUCCCCUUCCGGCUAUCGGUCAAAUUGCGCAACUUCAAAGGAUUGAAGAUCUAGUUCGAUUCUUCUCAUAUGGAUCUGUUUUCGAGCGAGACUGCUUUGAUGCAAGCUUGUCAACAUGGGCAUUAGGAGGUUGUUCAGAUUUUGAUUCUCUUCAAGGCCAAUAUUAUAUUCUCAGUUCUCCAAAUGUUUGGGACAUCCUUACUACAACAACAAAUGAUGAGGACUCUAAUAACUCGGAGUUUGACAAAAGAUGUGUAAUCUCGCUUUGUUUUUUUUUAAAUUGAGUUGUGUUUGUGUUGGUAUUAUAGGGCAUUAUAUGAGAUAAUCAAUAGAUCUUCUUAUAACUGCUCUUCAUAUAGCUGCACAUGUUGAAAGUGUUCAUUAUUUCUUGAUUUUAGAGCUUCUGUUUCUCAAGUUACUAUUGGAGAUGGAACUACAAUUGAUUUAAUUGGAUGUACUCCUCUUCACUACGCUGCUUGUGUUGGAAAUGCUCAAUGUUGUCAGAUUGACUCCAUUGAUGGUGUCGCGAUCAUGGCAUAGAGAUUGGCUUGAGCAAAUCCUUUGCCCACUGCCACAACCUGAACUUCCUCAACUUAUUCCUUUGCCUUUUCUUUCUCUUCCUCUUUUCAACAUGGUCAAGAUCGCUAGAAUGCGGAUGGAGGAGUGAUUCUAUCACAUGUGUUGUUGAUCUAUGUGUCGUUUGUUUGGAGAACAAAUGUAUAGUUGUUGCACAAGGCUGUGAUCACGAAUUCUGCACACAAUGUGCUCUAUACCUGUGUUCGACAAACAACACGACUUCAACUGCAGGCAACGAGCCUCCAGGAGCUGCUAGAGACAUCACCAUUAUGCAGAACCGAAAGAGAAAGGUUCCAGUGCACGAGAAUUCCUCCGCUAGGAUCACCUUUUCGUUCUUUAAGCUGUCAAAGGUUUCCAGUUACUUUUGAUUCAACAAACACACACUUUGCCAGCUUAUAUUGUUGAUGUUGCCCUUAAAAAUGUAGGUCAAGAUUAGACCUUGAAGCUAGAGGUCUACCUCAAAGCAUCCCUCCUCUCGCACAAUACCUUGGAAAAUAAGUCAUGAUCAAGAUGAAUAAAGUACACAACUAGCCUAACCUAUUAGGAAUAAGGUAAAGAUUUCCUUUUAUGGUUGUGACUAGUAUGCAUAUUCUCUCAUGACUUCAGCUUCGGGUUUUGUUCACUCAUCGUUGAUAUGUGCUUGAAGAAUUGAAGUUUUUAUUCCGUUGCGUUAAUAUAUUUAGUGCUAAAGAAACUUAGAAUGUAUUUUGUGAUAAUGGAUUAUUUUAGAAUGUAUUUUGUAAUAAUGGAUGAUUGAUUAUUAUUUUAUUUUAUGUAUAUUUUGAAUUUAUUUUUUUAAUA
This is a long non-coding RNA of Impatiens glandulifera, 1515 nucleotides long. RefSeq lists it as uncharacterized. The record is from RefSeq and is a predicted model, not a curated record. NCBI's taxonomy places the organism in Eukaryota, Viridiplantae, Streptophyta, Magnoliopsida, Ericales, Balsaminaceae. The transcript has 12 exons.